Molecule: transfer RNA, 80 nt
Filed under: Mogurnda adspersa (purple-spotted gudgeon)
Lineage: Eukaryota; Metazoa; Chordata; Actinopteri; Gobiiformes; Eleotridae
Description: tRNA-Val
Rfam family: tRNA
About the family: Transfer RNA (tRNA) molecules are approximately 80 nucleotides in length. Their secondary structure includes four short double-helical elements and three loops (D, anti-codon, and T loops).
Source: RNAcentral
CAGAGCGUAGCCAAAUUAGAAUAGCGUCUCCCUUACACCGAGAAGACAUCCGUGCAAACCGGAUCGCACUGACACCCAAC